This is a small nuclear RNA of Syzygium oleosum, 152 nucleotides long. RefSeq annotates it as U4 spliceosomal RNA. Lineage: Eukaryota; Viridiplantae; Streptophyta; Magnoliopsida; Myrtales; Myrtaceae. The record is from RefSeq and is a predicted model, not a curated record. The transcript has a single exon.
AUCUUUGCGCUUGGGGCAAUAACGCAAUUAGCGAGGUACUAAUCGAGGCGCGUCUAUUGCUGGUUGAAAACUUUUUCCAAACCCCUUCUUUGGCCUGCGUUUGAGCUCAGGCCACUGAGAAUUUUUGGAAGGGCUCCUCAUGGGGUAAAGCC